RNAcentral lists this ribosomal RNA (464 nucleotides) under Vreelandella stevensii. RNAcentral's name for it is "partial 16S ribosomal RNA". It matches the Rfam family "Bacterial small subunit ribosomal RNA", at positions 339 to 795 of the family's 1533-position model. Lineage: Bacteria; Pseudomonadati; Pseudomonadota; Gammaproteobacteria; Oceanospirillales; Halomonadaceae. The record is from RNAcentral.
CCUCGGGUGGCUGCAGUGGGGAAUAUUGGACAAUGGGCGAAAGCCUGAUCCAGCCAUGCCGCGUGUGUGAAGAAGGCCUUCGGGUUGUAAAGCACUUUCAGUGGGGAAGAAAGCCUUGGGGCUAAUACCCUCGAGGAAGGACAUCACCCACAGAAGAAGCACCGGCUAACUCCGUGCCAGCAGCCGCGGUAAUACGGAGGGUGCGAGCGUUAAUCGGAAUUACUGGGCGUAAAGCGCGCGUAGGCGGUCUGAUAAGCCGGUUGUGAAAGCCCCGGGCUCAACCUGGGAACGGCAUCCGGAACUGUCCGGCUAGAGUGCAGGAGAGGAAGGUAGAAUUCCCGGUGUAGCGGUGAAAUGCGUAGAGAUCGGGAGGAAUACCAGUGGAGAAGGCGGCCUUCUGGACUGACACUGACGCUGAGGUGCGAAAGCGUGGGUAGCAAACAGGAUUAGAUACCCGAGUAGUC